GCCAACAACAACUGAAUCUGCCUGGGAAACGUAUUUACAACCAACCAACCAGUUAAUCAAGUGAGGCAUUUGCAGACAUUGUGGUGGGAAAUUAUUUCAGCACUCUAACAUUACGCUUGUUUUUGCCAAAACAACAAUACCAAAAAAAGAUCACCAGAGUUUUCUGAAUAAUAAAGCAUAAAUCAGGCGGUGGGAAACGAGAGGGAGAAAUAUUCAUAAUCAGAGGUUUCAUCCUGGUGGAUUGCUUUCUCCUUGGAAAAUAAAUCUCCACCUGCUAUUAUUAAGAAACUGCUGCUCUCGGAAACAAAUAGAAUCAAUGUACUUUAUUUUCGUUUAAGAGUCUUAGAGAAGCAAAGUUGGGGGGGGGUAAGGCGGCAACGGGGGAGGGGUACUGAUAGACAGGGUAUUAAACACACCGAAUUGGAUUUUACCAGGACAGUCGAACUGAGAUUCCUAUUGUAUUGAAUUAUCGCCUCUUCUGUCUGGUUGGGAUCUCAGACAGGCAACACUUAGAGUUGCAGACAGCUCCAGUGACAAUGAGUAAACUUGGAGCAGCUACUCAGGUCCCAACGCACUGUUCCUAGAAGGGUCUUCUCCUUGGAAGGACAGGAUCCGGUCCACUUGCAGUCCCCAACCGUUCUUCUCAGCGUGAUUUCCCCCUCCCCGCCCCCGCCACACACACACCCGCACAGACACUUUUCCCGGUCUUGGGGAGACAGCUGUCGGGAUGGCUUGAGAAAGCGGGCCGUCCUGGAAAGCUGUUCAGCGAGAGGAAAGAAGAAACGAAGACGGGAGCGCCAAGCUCAGAGGCCAGGAGUCAGAGUCCGACCCAGGACAGAAGUUUCCCAGUCAUGUCUGGAAAGAAGGCGCUCUUUGCAACUUGACAGUCAUCAGUCUGCAGUCUGGAUGGAGAGGAGUGUUUCCUUCCAAUCAGAUAAGGAAUGCAGAGUGAUAGAAGAGGGAGAACUCCCAGCUGCCUGCUCUGGGGAGAGUGUUCUAUAGCUGCGCUGGAGGGGACAGCUCCCGAGGAACAAGGAGCCCUCUGGGAAACCUGGGGAAAAGCUCCAAGAAUGUUUUAGGAAGGGCCUAUCUAACCCAAAGAGAACAUCUCUCUCUAAGUGAACCCCAAAAGGGUAACAUUCAAUAAAUAAUUCCCUUAACCCCAACAUAAAAAGAAGGUGACCUUUCUCCUUUUGGCAAAUUCUGAUUACAUAUGCGUAUUGAUUCCCCAUGGAAUGGAAGUUAGAUUGGGAUUCCUUGUGGGUCUGAAAGGACAAGGAGAACAAUUGUUUCUUCUCCAAGAGAGAUGGGCAAACAUCACUGGUACUGCAAGCUUCAUUACUGUAUCCAAUCUCAGCUCAGGCAUCUCUUCAAUAUUCCUAAGCAGAUCAUCAAUAUUUUCCACAGAAAGGAUCACAGACCCUUUAGACCCACAGAGCUGGAAGGGACCUCAAAGGUCAUUUAGCCUAACAUUUUACAGAUGAGGGGUGAUGUGGGGUUCAGGGAGGUGAGUGACUCAUCCAAGGUCACAUAGCUACCAAGUGUCAGAGGAAAGAUUUGAACAGAGGUCCCCUCCCUCCAGUCAAUGCUCUUUCAUGUGCACCAUGCUGUGCAGGUGAAGAUGGGAAUGGAAGGAUUGGAAUGAAGAUGGGGGUAGAGAGGGAAGCUUGAA
Molecule: long non-coding RNA, 1672 nt
Organism: Dromiciops gliroides (monito del monte)
Lineage: Eukaryota; Metazoa; Chordata; Mammalia; Microbiotheria; Microbiotheriidae
Exons: 3
Source: RefSeq, a predicted model, not a curated record